This 802-nucleotide ribosomal RNA is filed under the name uncultured bacterium. Its description in RNAcentral is "bacterial SSU rRNA". It matches the Rfam family "Bacterial small subunit ribosomal RNA", at positions 629 to 1432 of the family's 1533-position model. The record is from RNAcentral.
UGAACUGGGUGACUAGAGUGUGUCAGAGGGAGGUAGAAUUCCACGUGUAGCAGUGAAAUGCGUAGAGAUGUGGAGGAAUNCCGAUGGCGAAGGCAGCCUCCUGGGAUAACACUGACGUUCAUGCCCGAAAGCGUGGGUAGCAAACAGGAUUAGAUACCCUGGUAGUNCACGCCCUAAACGAUGUCGAUUAGCUGUUGGGCAGCAUGACUGCUUAGUAGCGAAGCUAACGCGUGAAAUCGACCGCCUGGGGAGUACGGUCGCAAGAUUAAAACUCAAAGGAAUUGACGGGGACCCGCACAAGCGGUGGAUGAUGUGGAUUAAUUCGAUGCAACGCGAAGAACCUUACCUGGUCUUGACAUGUACGGAACCCUCCAGAGACGGAGGGGUGCCUUCGGGAGCCGUAACACAGGUGCUGCAUGGCUGUCGUCAGCUCGUGUCGUGAGAUGUUGGGUUAAGUCCCGCAACGAGCGCAACCCUUGUCAUUAGUUGCCAUCAUUAAGUUGGGCACUCUAAUGAGACUGCCGGUGACAAGCCGGAGGAAGGUGGGGAUGACGUCAAGUCCUCAUGGCCCUUAUGACCAGGGCUUCACACGUCAUACAAUGGUCGGUACAGAGGGUAGCCAAGCCGCGAGGUGGAGCCAAUCUCACAAAACCGAUCGUAGUCCGGAUUGCACUCUGCAACUCGAGUGCAUGAAGUCGGAAUCGCUAGUAAUCGCAGGUCAGCAUACUGCGGUGAAUACGUUCCCGGGUCUUGUACACACCGCCCGUCACACCAUGGGAGUGGGGGAUACCAGAAGUAGGUA